Molecule: transfer RNA, 67 nt
Filed under: Histiotus montanus (small big-eared brown bat)
Lineage: Eukaryota; Metazoa; Chordata; Mammalia; Chiroptera; Vespertilionidae
Description: tRNA-His
Rfam family: tRNA
About the family: Transfer RNA (tRNA) molecules are approximately 80 nucleotides in length. Their secondary structure includes four short double-helical elements and three loops (D, anti-codon, and T loops).
Source: RNAcentral
GUAAAUAUAGUUUAACAAAAACUUUAGAUUGUGAAUCUAAUAAUAGAAUGUGAUAUUCUUAUUUACC